RNAcentral lists this ribosomal RNA (414 nucleotides) under bacterium enrichment culture clone ALO1_GLFRUDD03FZNJS. Its description in RNAcentral is "bacterial SSU rRNA". It matches the Rfam family "Bacterial small subunit ribosomal RNA", at positions 10 to 425 of the family's 1533-position model. The record is from RNAcentral.
GGUUUGAUCUUGGCUCAGAUUGAACGCUGGCGGCAUGCCUUACACAUGCAAGUCGAACGGCAGCACGGGAGCUUGCUCCUGGUGGCGAGUGGCGAACGGGUGAGUAAUGCAUCGGAACGUAUCCUGGAGUGGGGGAUAACGUAGCGAAAGUUACGCUAAUACCGCAUAUUCUGUGAGCAGGAAAGCGGGGGACCUUCGGGCCUCGCGCUCUUGGAGCGGCCGAUGUCGGAUUAGCUAGUUGGUGAGGUAAAGGCUCACCAAGGCGACGAUCCGUAGCAGGUCUGAGAGGAUGAUCUGCCACACUGGAACUGAGACACGGUCCAGACUCCUACGGGAGGCAGCAGUGGGGAAUUUUUGGACAAUGGGGGCAACCCUGAUCCAGCCAUGCCGCGUGAGUGAAGAAGGCCUCGGUUG